UGUCUCAGUACAAGCCAAAUUAAGGUGAAACCGCGAAAGGCUCAUUAAAUCAGUUAUGGUUCCUUAGAUCGUACCCACAAUUACUUGGAUAACUGUGGUAAUUCUAGAGCUAAUACAUGCAAACAGAGCUCCGACCGGAGACGGAAGGAGUGCUUUUAUUAGAUCAAAACCAAUCGGUGGCGGGCUCGCUCGUCAUCGUACAAAUUGGUGACUCUGAAUAACUUUACGCUGAUCGCACGGUCAUCGCACCGGCGACGCAUCUUUCAAAUGUCUGCCUUAUCAACUGUCGAUGGUAGGUUCUGCGCCUACCAUGGUUGUAACGGGUAACGGGGAAUCAGGGUUCGAUUCCGGAGAGGGAGCCUGAGAAACGGCUACCACAUCCAAGGAAGGCAGCAGGCGCGCAAAUUACCCACUCCCGGCACGGGGAGGUAGUGACGAAAAAUAACGAUACGGGACUCAUCCGAGGCCCCGUAAUCGGAAUGAGUACACUCUAAACCCUUUAACAAGGAUCAAUUGGAGGGCAAGUCUGGUGCCAGCAGCCGCGGUAAUUCCAGCUCCAAUAGCGUAUAUUAAAGUUGUUGCGGUUAAAAAGCUCGUAGUCGAAUUUGUGUCUCGCGCCGCUGGUUCAUCGUCCGCGGUGUUAACUGGCGAGUCGCGAGACGUCCUGCCGGUGGGCUUAGCUCGCAAGGGCGGCCCAACUCAAUCCUGCCGCGGUGCUCUUCAUUGAGUGUCGAGGUGGGCCGGCACGUUUACUUUGAACAAAUUAGAGUGCUUAAAGCAGGCUAAAACUUCGCCUGAAUACUGUGUGCAUGGAAUAAUGGAAUAGGACCUCGGUUCUAUUUUGUUGGUUUUCGGAACUCCGAGGUAAUGAUUAAUAGGAACGGAUGGGGGCAUUCGUAUUGCGACGUUAGAGGUGAAAUUCUUGGAUCGUCGCAAGACGGACAGAAGCGAAAGCAUUUGCCAAAAACGCUUUCAUUGAUCAAGAACGAAAGUUAGAGGUUCGAAGGCGAUCAGAUACCGCCCUAGUUCUAACUAUAAACGAUGCCAGCUAGCGAUCCGUCGACGUUCCUCCGAUGACUCGACGGGCAGCUUCCGGGAAACCAAAGCUUUUGGGUUCCGGGGGAAGUAUGGUUGCAAAGCUGAAACUUAAAGGAAUUGACGGAAGGGCACCACCAGGAGUGGAGCCUGCGGCUUAAUUUGACUCAACACGGGAAACCUCACCAGGCCCGGACACCGGAAGGAUUGACAGAUUGAGAGCUCUUUCUUGAUUCGGUGGGUGGUGGUGCAUGGCCGUUCUUAGUUGGUGGAGCGAUUUGUCUGGUUAAUUCCGAUAACGAACGAGACUCUAGCCUGCUAACUAGGCGUAUUCGACAUCCUAAAGGCCCGCCGGCUCGGGGUUCGCUCCUUGUCGCGCGCGGUUUUUACUGUCGGCGUACAAACAAUUCUUCUUAGAGGGACAGGCGGCUUCUAGCCGCACGAGAUUGAGCAAUAACAGGUCUGUGAUGCCCUUAGAUGUUCUGGGCCGCACGCGCGCUACACUGAAGGAAUCAGCGUGUCCUCCCUGGCCGAGUGG
RNAcentral lists this ribosomal RNA (1573 nucleotides) under Ceutorhynchus scrobicollis. Its description in RNAcentral is "SSU rRNA". It matches the Rfam family "Eukaryotic small subunit ribosomal RNA", at positions 56 to 1540 of the family's 1831-position model. Lineage: Eukaryota; Metazoa; Arthropoda; Insecta; Coleoptera; Curculionidae. The record is from RNAcentral.